Molecule: transfer RNA, 73 nt
Filed under: Chitinophagaceae bacterium
Lineage: Bacteria; Pseudomonadati; Bacteroidota; Chitinophagia; Chitinophagales; Chitinophagaceae
Description: tRNA-Thr
Rfam family: tRNA
About the family: Transfer RNA (tRNA) molecules are approximately 80 nucleotides in length.
Source: RNAcentral
GCCGAAAUAGCUCAGUUGGUAGAGCAACUGAUUUGUAAUCAGUAGGUCGCUGGUUCGACCCCAGUUUUCGGCU